UCUUACUUAGACAUACAAAGUGACGCUGAUGGAGCCGAUGAUGAGAAAUGUUUUAGUGUUUUGCUAUUGCUGUCAUCAAGACCAUCAUCGAGAGUAACUUGGAGAGGUGUGGCACAAGUGGACCAUGCCACCAGACAAAGGAACUGUAAGGCUGAGCAGGCUCAGAACCCAGAGAAUCUGAAAACUGAGGACAGCAGGAGUGGACCCACCUCCCUGCCAGGCUCUACUCACUCUGGAACAGGCCUGGAGGUUCAGAAAUGAAGAAAAAGGUUGGCCUCAUCAAUUUCGAAAUCUCAUCGUGAAAAAACUGAAAGUUCUUCAAUUCGGUUUGAAGAUGUCAGCAUAUUGUAGAAAAGUGAAGUCCUGUGCGAUCUUCCUGUGGGUCUGUAUUACGGACAACGCAGGGGCAGUACACUGCCUUUGGAGAGACCCCAUUCUCUUGGUUCCGCCCACUUCCUUUUUCCAUGAACAGCAUCACACAUUUGCAGCCGAGCAAUUUUAUCCAUCUGCUUAUGGCCAGUAACGUGGGUGAAUUGACAGC
Molecule: non-coding RNA, 541 nt
Organism: Rattus norvegicus (Norway rat)
Lineage: Eukaryota; Metazoa; Chordata; Mammalia; Rodentia; Muridae
Source: RefSeq, a predicted model, not a curated record